UAAUACGGAGGAUGCGAGCGUUAUCCGGAUUCAUUGGGUUUAAAGGGUGCGUAGGCGGAACGAUAAGUCAGUGGUGAAAUUCUGCAGCUUAACUGUAGACGUGCCAUUGAUACUGUCAGUCUUGAGUAUGGUCAAGGUAGGCGGAAUGUGUAAUGUAGCGGUGAAAUGCUUAGAUAUUACACAGAACACCGAUUGCGAAGGCAGCUUGCUGGGCCAUUACUGACGCUGAUGCACGAAAGCGUGGGGAUCAAACAGGAUUAGAUACCCUGGUAGUCCACGCUGUAAACGAUGAUCACUCGCUGUUGGCGAUACACAGUCAGCGGCUAAGCAAAAGCAUUAAGUGAUCCACCUGGGGAGUACGGCCGCAAGGCUGAAACUCAAAUGAAUUGACGG
Molecule: ribosomal RNA, 393 nt
Filed under: uncultured bacterium
Lineage: Bacteria
Description: bacterial SSU rRNA
Rfam family: Bacterial small subunit ribosomal RNA
Source: RNAcentral